RNAcentral lists this ribosomal RNA (393 nucleotides) under Triticum aestivum (bread wheat). RNAcentral's name for it is "partial small subunit ribosomal RNA". Lineage: Eukaryota; Viridiplantae; Streptophyta; Magnoliopsida; Poales; Poaceae. The record is from RNAcentral.
AUGAAUGAGGAAACUGUACAAUGGCGGUUUACGGGUUUUUAUGGUCAUCCGAAUUGGAGUGAACAUAAUUUGUCUUGGGAUGAUAUUCACAAUUUACAUAAUAAGGGCGAUCACCCUUGGGUUAUUUUGGAGGAUUUCAAUGAAAUUUUACUCUCCUCUGAGAAAGAGGGCGGUAACGCGAGACCAAAUGCAAUGAUGAGAGAUUUCCGUAAUUGUUUGGGAGAAUGUGGGCUGGCAGAUAUGGGUUAUAUUGGUGAUCUCUUCACCUGGAGGAGAGGCGAAGUUAGGGAAAGACUUGACCGGGCAGUUUGUAAUGUGGACUGGGCAAAUAAAUUUCCACGUGCUGCAGUCAUAAACGAAGAGCAUGUGCACUCUGACCAUCGCCCACUAGUU